This 311-nucleotide ribosomal RNA is filed under the name uncultured bacterium. RNAcentral describes it as "bacterial SSU rRNA". It matches the Rfam family "Bacterial small subunit ribosomal RNA", at positions 28 to 334 of the family's 1533-position model. The record is from RNAcentral.
GACGAACGCUGGCGGCGUGCCUAACACAUGCAAGUCGAACGGACUUGAAGGGGCUUGCUCCUUCAAGUUAGUGGCGGACGGGCGAGUAACGCGUGAGCAACCUGCCCUUCAGUGGGGAACGACAGUUGGAAACGACUGCUAAUACCGCAUAAUGUGCAUUGAUCGCAUGAUCGAAGCACCAAAGGAUUUAUUCGCUGAAGGAUGGGCUCGCGUCCGAUUAGCUAGUUGGUGAGGUAACGGCUCACCAAGGCGACGAUCGGUAGCCGGUCUGAGAGGAUGACCAGCCACACUGGAACUGAGACACGGUCCAG